Molecule: ribosomal RNA, 573 nt
Filed under: Colletotrichum sp. BDS-2011
Lineage: Eukaryota; Fungi; Ascomycota; Sordariomycetes; Glomerellales; Glomerellaceae
Description: eukaryotic LSU rRNA
Rfam family: 5.8S ribosomal RNA (bases 213-366)
Source: RNAcentral
UAACAAGGUCUCCGUUGGUGAACCAGCGGAGGGAUCAUUACUGAGUUUACGCUCUACAACCCUUUGUGAACAUACCUAUAACUGUUGCUUCGGCGGGUAGGGUCUCCGUGACCCUCCCGGCCUCCCGCCCCCGGGCGGGUCGGCGCCCGCCGGAGGAUAACCAAACUCUGAUUUAACGACGUUUCUUCUGAGUGGUACAAGCAAAUAAUCAAAACUUUUAACAACGGAUCUCUUGGUUCUGGCAUCGAUGAAGAACGCAGCGAAAUGCGAUAAGUAAUGUGAAUUGCAGAAUUCAGUGAAUCAUCGAAUCUUUGAACGCACAUUGCGCCCGCCAGCAUUCUGGCGGGCAUGCCUGUUCGAGCGUCAUUUCAACCCUCAAGCUCUGCUUGGUGUUGGGGCCCUACAGCUGAUGUAGGCCCUCAAAGGUAGUGGCGGACCCUCCCGGAGCCUCCUUUGCGUAGUAACUUUACGUCUCGCACUGGGAUCCGGAGGGACUCUUGCCGUAAAACCCCCAAUUUUCCAAAGGUUGACCUCGGAUCAGGUAGGAAUACCCGCUGAACUUAAGCAUAUCAA